Molecule: non-coding RNA, 24 nt
Filed under: Cricetulus griseus (Chinese hamster)
Lineage: Eukaryota; Metazoa; Chordata; Mammalia; Rodentia; Cricetidae
Source: RNAcentral
AUUUUUACUGUAAUAGAUUGUAAG